This 477-nucleotide ribosomal RNA is filed under the name uncultured Bacteroidota bacterium. Its description in RNAcentral is "bacterial SSU rRNA". It matches the Rfam family "Bacterial small subunit ribosomal RNA", at positions 30 to 500 of the family's 1533-position model. The record is from RNAcentral. Lineage: Bacteria; Pseudomonadati; Bacteroidota.
UGAACGCUAGCGGCAGGCCUAACACAUGCAAGUCGAACGGUAACAUAGAUUGCUUGCAAUCUGAUGACGAGUGGCGCACGGGUGCGUAACGCGUAUGCAAUCUACCUUUUACAGGAGAAUAGCCCAGAGAAAUUUGGAAUAAUGCUCCAUAAUAUCACUUAUCAGCAUUGAUUUAUGAUUAAAGUUCCGGCGGUAAAAGAUGAGCAUGCGUUCUAUUAGCUAGUAGGUGAGGUAACGGCUCACCUAGGCUACGAUAGAUAGGGGCCCUGAGAGGGGGAUCCCCCACACUGGUACUGAGACACGGACCAGACUCCUACGGGAGGCAGCAGUGAGGAAUAUUGGACAAUGGAGGAAACUCUGAUCCAGCCAUGCCGCGUGCAGGAUGACUGCCCUAUGGGUUGUAAACUGCUUUUAUAUAGGAAGAAACACUCCCACGUGUGGGGGCUUGACGGUACUAUAUGAAUAAGGAUCGGCUAA